AACGCUGGCGGCAGGCCUAACACAUGCAAGUCGAGCGCCCCGCAAGGGGAGCGGCAGACGGGAGAGUAACACGUGGGAACGUACCCUUCAGUUCGGAACAACCCAGGGAAACUUGGGCUAAUACCGAAUACGUCCGUAAGGAGAAAGAUUUAUCGCUGAAGGAUCGGCCCGCGUCUGAUUAGCUAGUUGGUGGGGUAACGGCCCACCAAGGCUACGAUCAGUAGCUGGUCUGAGAGGAUGAUCAGCCUCACUGGGACUGAGACACGGCCCAGACUCCUACGGGAGGCAGCAGUGGGGAAUAUUGGACAAUGGGCGCAAGCCUGAUCCAGCCAUGCCGCGUGGGUGAUGAAGGCCCUAGGGUUGUAAAGCCCUUUCGGCGGGGAAGAUAAUGACGGUACCCGCAGAAGAAGCCCCGGCUAACUUCGUGCCAGCAGCCGCGGUAAUACGAAGGGGGCUAGCGU
Molecule: ribosomal RNA, 461 nt
Filed under: uncultured bacterium
Lineage: Bacteria
Description: bacterial SSU rRNA
Rfam family: Bacterial small subunit ribosomal RNA
Source: RNAcentral